This 338-nucleotide unclassified non-coding RNA is filed under the name soil metagenome. RNAcentral describes it as "partial contains 5.8S ribosomal RNA, internal transcribed spacer 2, and large subunit ribosomal RNA". The stretch from base 1 to 120 matches the Rfam family "5.8S ribosomal RNA", at positions 35 to 154 of the family's 154-position model. The record is from RNAcentral.
GAUGAAGAACGUAGCGAAAUGCGAUAAGUAGUGUGAAUUGCAGAAUUCCGUGAAUCAUCGAAUCUUUGAACGCACAUUGCGCCCCUUGGUAUUCCAUGGGGCAUGCCUGUUCGAGCGUCAUCUACACCCUCAAGCUCUGCUUGGUGUUGGGCGUCUGUCCCGCCCCCGCGCGUGGACUCGCCCCAAAUCCAUUGGCAGCGUUCCUUGCCCCCUCUCGCGCAGCACAUUGCGCUUCUCGAGGGCGGCUCCGGGACGCGAUCCAGCAAGAUGACCACCGUCUUUGACCUCGGAUCAGGUAGGGAUACCCGCUGAACUUAAGCAUAUCAAUAAGCGGAGGA